UCUGUUGGCAAGAAACGAUACAUUAAUAAAUAGGCGUGCCAAAUAAAUAACAUUGCUGUGUGAACUAAAAACUAUAAAAGUUUCAGUUUUCUCGCAUACAAAGUGGCGCCUCUAGCGGAAACUAUCAUGAAACUUUUGACAGAUAAUCUAUGCAGGUGACAGAAGAAAACAAAAAAAAUUUCGUUUACGUAAAUUGCAAAACCCGUACUAGAGGCCCUGAUACAGGAUGUGCUGCACCAUGAUUUUAUUUAUUUGGCUUUCCUAUGCAUUAUGCUGGUCUUCAGUUUCAAUAUCAUUUAAACGACUUUAUUGUUUUAAAAUAAUGUAUUUCUACACUUACCUUCUCAUUAUAGAGGCAUGGCCCGGGGGCAGCGGCGGUAUUCCCGAAAAAAUAGGAAAGCUGAAAUUUAGAAGAAAAAAAAUAUUAAAUAAAGAUAUAAGAAGAGAUGUAAGAAGGCAAGCUGACAAUGGGAUGGUAUGUCUGCAAAGCCAAUCAUAAAGAACCAAAUAAACUGCUUAUGGGCUUAUGGUUAUAUUAAACCGAUUGCAUGUAUCUAUAUACUCUAAGCAUGUAUCAUAUUUGUUUUCUCAGCCUCACACUUUAACUCAGGUUCGCUGAAGCAUCGGCAAGCUGAAUGUGAGAUGGUAUGUUGAUGUCCUGUACAUUGACACGGAAAUGAGGCAUUGAAGAUGUUAUGUUGGGGACAAUGCAUGAUAGAACAG
Non-coding RNA from Plutella xylostella (diamondback moth), 723 nucleotides. NCBI's taxonomy places the organism in Eukaryota, Metazoa, Arthropoda, Insecta, Lepidoptera, Plutellidae. The record is from RefSeq and is a predicted model, not a curated record.